AUACAUCUGUAUCUACGGCAGGGAGUGCUAAAAAGUUACGCCUUUGGAUAUGUGAUGCGAUUUGACCUGCAAGCGAAUGCGUUGGAGAUCAAACUCUGUAAAAUCCC
Molecule: small RNA, 107 nt
Filed under: Helicobacter suis HS5
Lineage: Bacteria; Pseudomonadati; Campylobacterota; Epsilonproteobacteria; Campylobacterales; Helicobacteraceae
Description: Heliobacter pylori small RNA HPnc0580
Rfam family: Heliobacter pylori small RNA HPnc0580
Source: Rfam by way of RNAcentral